RNAcentral lists this ribosomal RNA (500 nucleotides) under uncultured bacterium. RNAcentral describes it as "bacterial SSU rRNA". It matches the Rfam family "Bacterial small subunit ribosomal RNA", at positions 383 to 875 of the family's 1533-position model. The record is from RNAcentral.
CUGAUCCAGCGACGCCGCGUGUGUGAAGAAGGCCUGCGGGUUGUAAAGCACUUUUAGUGGGGAUGAAAAGCUCAGGGAUAACACCUCUGGGUCUUGACCUAACCCACAGAAAAAGCACCGGCUAACUCUGUGCCAGCAGCCGCGGUAAUACAGAGGGUGCAAGCGUUAAUCGGAAUUACUGGGCGUAAAGCGCGCGUAGACGGUUACUCAAGUCGGGUGUGAAAGCCCCGGGCUCAACCUGGGAAUUGCAUUCGAGACUGCGUAGCUAGGGUGCGGAAGAGGGAAGUGGAAUUUCCGGUGUAGCGGUGAAAUGCGUAGAUAUCGGAAGGAACAUCAGUGGCGAAAGCGACUUCCUGGUCCAGCACCGACGUUCAGGCGCGAAAGCGUGGGGAGCAAACAGGAUUAGAUACCCUGGUAGUCCACGCCAUAAACGAUGAGGACUAGACGUUGAGAGGGUAAGCCUCGCAGUGUCGCAGCUAACGCGUUAAGUCCUCCGCCUG